This 1397-nucleotide ribosomal RNA is filed under the name metagenome. Its description in RNAcentral is "bacterial LSU rRNA". It matches the Rfam family "Bacterial large subunit ribosomal RNA", at positions 1543 to 2925 of the family's 2925-position model. The record is from RNAcentral.
CCGGGCAUGAAGGGUGAGACGUGACGCAUAGCCGUUUGAGGCGAAGUAGGGUGAUCCCAUGCUGCCGAGAAAAGCCUCUAGCGAGUUCUAGCGCGGCCCGUACCCCAAACCGACACAGGUGGUCAGGUAGAGAAUACCAAGGCGAUCGAGCGAACUAUGGUUAAGGAACUCGGCAAAAUACCUCCGUAACUUCGGGAGAAGGAGGACCGGUGGCCUUGAAGCCCUUUGCGGGCUAGGGGUUGUCGGUCGCAGAGACCAGGCCCAAGCGACUGUUUACUAAAAACACAGGUCCGUGCGAAGUCGUAAGACGAUGUAUACGGACUGACGCCUGCCCGGUGCUGGAACGUUAAGAGGACCUGUUAGCCGUAAGGCGAAGCGGAGAAUUUAAGCGCCAGUAAACGGCGGUGGUAACUAUAACCAUCCUAAGGUAGCGAAAUUCCUUGUCGGGUAAGUUCCGACCUGCACGAAUGGCGUAACGACUUGGGCGCUGUCUCAACCAUAGACUCGGCGAAAUUGCACUACGAGUAAAGAUGCUCGUUACGCGCGGCAGGACGGAAAGACCCCGGGACCUUUACUAUAGCUUGGUAUUGGUGCUCGGUUCGGAUUGUGUAGGAUAGGUGGGAGACUGUGAAGUCGCAACGCUAGUUGUGGUGGAGUCGCCGUUGAAAUACCACUCUGUUCGAAUUGGGUGUCUAACCUCGGACCAUGAUCUGGUUCAGGGACAGUGCCUGGUGGGUAGUUUAACUGGGGCGGUUGCCUCCCAAAAAGUAACGGAUGCGCCCAAAGGUUCCCUCAGCCUGGUUGGCAAUCAGGUGUUGAGUGUAAGUGCACAAGGGAGCUUGACUGUGAGACAGACAUGUCGAGCAGGGACGAAAGUCGGGACUAGUGAUCCGGCACCACCUGGUGGAAGGGGUGUCGCUCAACGGAUAAAAGGUACCCCGGGGAUAACAGGCUGAUCUUGCCCAAGAGUCCAUAUCGACGGCAUGGUUUGGCACCUCGAUGUCGGCUCGUCGCAUCCUGGGGCCGGAGUAGGUCCCAAGGGUUGGGCUGUUCGCCCAUUAAAGCGGCACGCGAGCUGGGUUUAGAACGUCGUGAGACAGUUCGGUCCCUAUCCGCCGCGCGCGCAGGAGACUUGAGGAAGGCUGUCCCUAGUACGAGAGGACCGGGACGGACGAACCUCUGGUGUGCCAGUUGUCCCGCCAGGGGCACCGCUGGUUGGCUACGUUCGGAAGGGAUAACCGCUGAAGGCAUCUAAGCGGGAAGCUCGUUCCAAGAUGAGGUCUCCCACCACCUUCGCGUGGUUAAGGCCCCCCACAGACCAUGGGGUUGAUAGGCCAGAAAUGGAAGCACAGCAAUGUGUGGAGUUGACUGGUACUAAUAGGCCGAGGGCUUCACCC